This 489-nucleotide ribosomal RNA is filed under the name uncultured bacterium. Its description in RNAcentral is "partial 16S ribosomal RNA". It matches the Rfam family "Bacterial small subunit ribosomal RNA", at positions 29 to 507 of the family's 1533-position model. The record is from RNAcentral.
GUGAACGCUGGCGGUAGGCCUAACCCAUGCAAGUCGAACGGCAGCACAGGAGAGCUUGCUCUCUGGGUGGCGAGUGGCGGACGGGUGAGGAAUACAUCGGAAUCUGCCCAGUCGUGGGGGAUAACGUAGGGAAACUUACGCUAAUACCGCAUACGACCUUCGGGUGAAAGAGGGGGAUCGCAAGACCUCUCGCGAUUGGAUGAGCCGAUGUCGGAUUAGCUAGUUGGCGGGGUAAUGGCCCACCAAGGCGACGAUCCGUAGCUGGUCUGAGAGGAUGAUCAGCCACACUGGAACUGAGACACGGUCCAGACUCCUACGGGAGGCAGCAGUGGGGAAUAUUGGACAAUGGGCGCAAGCCUGAUCCAGCCAUACCGCGUGGGUGAAGAAGGCCUUCGGGUUGUAAAGCCCUUUUGUUGGGAAAGAAAUCUUUCAGGCUAAUACCCUGGGAGGAUGACGGUACCCAAAGAAUAAGCACCGGCUAACUUCGUG